UAGGGAAUCUUCCGCAAUGGACGAAAGUCUGACGGAGCAACGCCGCGUGAGCGAUGAAGGCCUUCGGGUCGUAAAGCUCUGUUGUUAGGGAAGAACAAGUACCGUUCGAAUAGGGCGGUACCUUGACGGUACCUAACCAGAAAGCCACGGCUAACUACGUGCCAGCAGCCGCGGUAAUACGUAGGUGGCAAGCGUUGUCCGGAAUUAUUGGGCGUAAAGCGCGCGCAGGCGGUUCCCUAAGUCUGAUGUGAAAGCCCACGGCUCAACCGUGGAGGGUCAUUGGAAACUGGGGAACUUGAGUGCAGAAGAGGAAAGCGGAAUUCCACGUGUAGCGGUGAAAUGCGUAGAGAUGUGGAGGAACACCAGUGGCGAAGGCGGCUUUCUGGUCUGUAACUGACGCUGAGGCGCGAAAGCGUGGGGAGCAAACAGGAUUAGAUACCCUGGUAGUCCACGCCGUAAACGAUGAGUGCUAAGUGUUAGGGGGUUUCCGCCCUUAGUGCUGCAGCUAACG
This 511-nucleotide ribosomal RNA is filed under the name uncultured Bacillota bacterium. RNAcentral's name for it is "bacterial SSU rRNA". It matches the Rfam family "Bacterial small subunit ribosomal RNA", at positions 355 to 857 of the family's 1533-position model. Lineage: Bacteria; Bacillati; Bacillota. The record is from RNAcentral.